UCAGGGGCAGUGUUUUUCUUUUAUGUUACAAUAAAAGUCCGAAUUGGCGGGAAGGGAGCUCAAGUGUGAUUACUGGGGCAACAACCGUCGUUCGUCCUCAGAGAUCCCUCCCGCCGAUCUUGAAGACAAUUUUCCCUGUGUGCCGUGUCAUUUCUUUAACUUUGUCCGAGAAAAACUCUGACACAAAUGUCCAGAAAUU
Molecule: long non-coding RNA, 199 nt
Organism: Hippocampus comes (tiger tail seahorse)
Lineage: Eukaryota; Metazoa; Chordata; Actinopteri; Syngnathiformes; Syngnathidae
Exons: 3
Source: RefSeq, a predicted model, not a curated record